UCAGCUCUCUUAGCCUUUUGGCUUCGAUCAAGUGUAGUAACUGUUCUUGCCAGUUUAAUCGCUGGUAGGUCCCUACGGGGACUGUUAUCAACGCUUAGUUUUUGGAAACAGUCUAGCGGCCGCUGAACUUUGUUCAUGCCGCUGGUCACAGUGUCGCCAGUAUUGCACUAUCGCUGGCUGACGCAACCUUCU
RNAcentral lists this small nuclear RNA (192 nucleotides) under Neofusicoccum parvum UCRNP2. Its description in RNAcentral is "U2 spliceosomal RNA". It matches the Rfam family "U2 spliceosomal RNA". Rfam says of the family: U2 is a small nuclear RNA (snRNA) component of the spliceosome (involved in pre-mRNA splicing). Complementary binding between U2 snRNA (in an area lying towards the 5' end but 3' to hairpin I) and the branchpoint sequence (BPS) of the intron results the bulging out of an unpaired adenosine, on the BPS, which initiates a nucleophilic attack at the intronic 5' splice site, thus starting the first of two transesterification reactions that mediate splicing. Lineage: Eukaryota; Fungi; Ascomycota; Dothideomycetes; Botryosphaeriales; Botryosphaeriaceae. The record is from Rfam by way of RNAcentral.